This is a long non-coding RNA of Hemiscyllium ocellatum (epaulette shark), 837 nucleotides long. RefSeq lists it as uncharacterized. NCBI's taxonomy places the organism in Eukaryota, Metazoa, Chordata, Chondrichthyes, Orectolobiformes, Hemiscylliidae. The transcript has 3 exons. The record is from RefSeq and is a predicted model, not a curated record.
CAUUCUUAACUGCAUCCUGGGGUGUAUUUGCGAUUGCACUGGCUGUAGGUUCUUUGGUACCUCCCCAUUGAACAUUCCGGGUGGUAACAUUGACUUUUUAUAAUUAUUUUUUAUAGUUUUGACCUUUUAGUGUAUGAAAAACUGUUCAACUUUGAAGGACAACUCCUUCAUCUGAUAGCCACACUUCUAAAGCGCGCUAUUAGCGCCUUUUGUUUGCAGAGCGAUUGUAAAACAAAUACGAACACAAAAUCACGUUACGAGGACAUUUGGUCAGUAUGCUACUUAGUUGUGUGAAGCUUAAAAAGAAUGAAACUGGAUGGAUGACUUGGCAUCAACCUUGGCACCAGAAAUGACAGCAGCAAACUCAGCCCUGUCAACCCUGUACACCUUAAGCUCUCGCUUUCACGAACCGGCCAUUGCUGAAGACUGGAGCCUGCCGAGGACUGAGGCUUUCUCCAACUUCCGAGUGUGACACCCCUGAAUAAGUCUGUUGCUAUCCGAGGUUGUGUGUUUUAUCAUUAGUUAUGCAUGUUGGUCAGUUAGCUUGAAUAUUAAAACUCCUGUGGGUUCUAAUGCAACAACAUUGCAAAAAUAGGCAAAGUAGAACAUUCGUGCCAUUCUAAUUUAAGAGUUAGAAUUGAUCCCUGUGGUCCUGAUAGUGCAUUGCCACUAUUUACCCAUACACUUUAAUGCAUGGCUGCUCUGCAUACUACCUUACAUCAUGCUGUAAUCUUUUGCUAUAAAUUCUGUAUCUUAUGAUCUUAUACUCCACAACCAUCUGUUGAAGGAGCAGCACUCCAAAAGCUAGUGCUUCCAAAUAAACCUGUUGGAUUAUAA